CAGUCGAACGAGAGAAGAGAAGCUUGCUUUUCUGAUCUAGUGGCGGACGGCUGAGUAACACGUGAGCAAUCUGCCUUUCAGAGGGGGAUACCGAUUGGAAACGAUCGUUAAUACCGCAUAACAUAAUUGAACCGCAUGAUUUGAUUAUCAAAGAUUUAUCGCUGAAAGAUGAGCUCGCGUCUGAUUAGCUAGUUGGUAAGGUAACGGCUUACCAAGGCGACGAUCAGUAGCCGGACUGAGAGGUUGAUCGGCCACAUUGGGACUGAGACACGGCCCAGACUCCUACGGGAGGCAGCAGUGGGGAAUAUUGCACAAUGGAGGAAACUCUGAUGCAGCGAUGCCGCGUGAGGGAAGAAGGUUUUAGGAUUGUAAACCUCUGUCUUCAGGGACGAAAAAAGACGGUACCUGAGGAGGAAGCUCCGGCUAACUACGUGCCAGCAGCCGCGGUAAUACGUAGGGAGCGAGCGUUGUCCGGAAUUACUGGGUGUAAAGGGAGCGUAGGCGGGAUCGCAAGUCAGAUGUGAAAACUAUGGGCUUAACCCAUAAACUGCAUUUGAAACUGUGGUUCUUGAGUGAAGUAGAGGUAAGCGGAAUUCCUAGUGUAGCGGUGAAAUGCGUAGAUAUUAGGAGGAACAUCAGUGGCGAAGGCGGCUUACUGGGCUUUAACUGACGCUGAGGCUCGAAAGCGU
Molecule: ribosomal RNA, 689 nt
Filed under: uncultured bacterium
Lineage: Bacteria
Description: bacterial SSU rRNA
Rfam family: Bacterial small subunit ribosomal RNA
Source: RNAcentral